AAUCCAAAAAUGGCUUCCAUACAACAUUGCCAAUUACAUUUCCAUUAACUAAUUCCACGAUGCAAAAUUGUAAUUACGUUACUAUGAGCAUUUACAAGCUUUUAAAAUACUGCUAUUUUUAGUAGUAAUCCAAAUCAAAGUUAGGAAACCUGCUCCGUGCCCACCGGAUGUACUGUUCCGCCAUAAAAACGGUAUAUUUGCAUCCAUUGUUCCGUUUUGGCUAAUAUCCCACCCUGUUCUG
This 241-nucleotide long non-coding RNA is filed under the name Actinidia chinensis (golden kiwifruit). RNAcentral describes it as "long non-coding RNA (ACHI_LNC001154)". The record is from RNAcentral. Lineage: Eukaryota; Viridiplantae; Streptophyta; Magnoliopsida; Ericales; Actinidiaceae.